RNAcentral lists this transfer RNA (62 nucleotides) under Laodelphax striatellus (small brown planthopper). RNAcentral's name for it is "tRNA-His". The record is from RNAcentral. Lineage: Eukaryota; Metazoa; Arthropoda; Insecta; Hemiptera; Delphacidae.
AUCGAUUUAGUUUAAUUAAAAUUUCAUUUUGUGACUAUGAAGAUUCAAGUAAGGAUUCGAUA